UACGUAGGUGGCAAGCGUUGUCCGGAAUUACUGGGCGUAAAGGGCGCGUAGGCGGCCUUCUAAGUCGGACGUGAAAUCCCUCGGCUUAACCGAGGAACUGCGUCCGAUACUGAAAGGCUUGAAUCCGGGAGAGGGAUGUGGAAUUCCCAGUGUAGCGGUGAAAUGCGCAGAUAUUGGGAGGAACACCAGUGGCGAAGGCGGCACUCUGGGCCAGUACUGACACUGAGGAGCGAAAGCGUGGGUAGCGAACAGG
Molecule: ribosomal RNA, 253 nt
Filed under: uncultured bacterium
Lineage: Bacteria
Description: partial 16S ribosomal RNA
Rfam family: Bacterial small subunit ribosomal RNA
Source: RNAcentral